This 326-nucleotide long non-coding RNA is filed under the name Elaeis guineensis (African oil palm). Its description in RNAcentral is "long non-coding RNA (EGUI_LNC045057)". Lineage: Eukaryota; Viridiplantae; Streptophyta; Magnoliopsida; Arecales; Arecaceae. The record is from RNAcentral.
GGCGUCACCUCUCCCUGGGCUUCUCUCUCUUUUUGGGCAUCCUCUCUCUCUUUAGCGUGGUGGCGUGUGGGCAUCUUCUCUCUCUUUUUUGAUUUUUUUGAUCUAAUUUUGAAUUAAAAUUUUUAAUAUGAUUAAAUUUUAAUUUUAUCUAAUAUCUUUUAUAUAUUUUUUAUUUGAUUUUGACUAGAAUAUCGAAUCAAAAUCAGCCCCUGAAUCUGAUCUGCUGAAAAUCUGUUUUAGCAAAAAUUUUCUAUGUAGAUUUUUAUGCUGAUUUAAUAUUUGAUUAUACAUAGAUUUAAAUCUAUUUUUAAUAGAUUUUUUUAUGA